Molecule: long non-coding RNA, 1114 nt
Organism: Cucumis melo (muskmelon)
Lineage: Eukaryota; Viridiplantae; Streptophyta; Magnoliopsida; Cucurbitales; Cucurbitaceae
Exons: 4
Source: RefSeq, a predicted model, not a curated record
UUCUUCUUCUCCUUCCUCACCCUUCUUGACUAACCAUCUCUCUUCCUCUUCCAAUUCUUCUUUCGCUCACCAUUUCUCCUCUAGCCAACGCCUCCAUGAGCAUCCCUUACGGUGUGUGACUCGACGGAUGACGGUUGCACGUCGAUGCAACCCAACAACCGUCGUGCGUCUCUCCCUCGCGUGAUUGGAGCGUCGUGGCUUGCCAACUUCAGAUCCACUAUCGUCGUGCCAUCAAUCUAACCGAACAAUGGCCACUCGUUGUGUGGUUUAACUCACCACUUAUUCCCGGCCACACACAGUUGUUUGAAGCCAUAAUUUUCAUAGGUAGUUGGAUCUUGGAGUUGGAUUUGAUUAUUAGAGGAAUUUUGCCAUUGUACAGCCAUUCAAAAACUCGAAAUUGGGCAUUUUUAGCACAGCUUGGGGGGUUUCGGGGCUGAAAGAGGUUGUGAUCGGAGAUCUGGGAACUUAAGCCUAGGUGAGGAUGUGAACGGAGGAUUGUGAUAUGGCUUCGGGUCUAGCUUAACCUGUGGUGGAUGGCUCUAUGUGCACAUAGGAGCGGUAUGUAGUUACUGUAGUAGGUGCUAAGUAUGCGUGAGCUCUGUUUGGCCGCGUGUUUUCUUGUGGAUAUGGAGCACGUGCGAGCUAUUCCCAGGUCGUAUACUUAGUAUGCUAUCAUGGUUGGAUUGGAUUGGUUGGAGGUUGCCAUAGUGGUGGGUAUUAAAGAUGCGUGAGCUAAAAUUGGCAGCAUGAUUCUUUGUCAUGUGCGAGCUAUCUUUGGCCAUAUUUUUAGAUGCCUUGCCAUAGUUGGAUCGACUACAGGUAGCGAUCAAAGGCCAAGUGUUGGUUGAAUUCUCGUCAUUGAUUAUAGGUCUCCACUAUUCUUUUGUAUGUAUAUAGUUACCCUUUGUAAUACAUCAUGGAGUGGUUAGAUGUAGAGAGAGUAAGGUUAAGAACUUGUGAUUGAGGAGAUCCCUCUUUAAAUUGAACUAUUUUGUAUGACAUAUCUAGUUUUAACAUGAUUUUCUGCCUGAAACUCUGAAAUUGUAUGGAUAAGUGUGUGGUGAGACACAUUUGUUUUGUUCAAAAUUAGAGUAAAACCACAAUUUGAGUGCAA